CCGAUUUACACGAUAAAACAAUAUAUCAAAUAGAAAGCUCAACUCGCCCUCAAUUUAAUAGUCAAUCCAUCAAAAUCACAUACACAUAACUAUAUGCAUUGUAUAUACAUGUAAUAAAAAAAGACAUUCAUAAAUCCACCAAGGGAGCUUAACUCAAGCAUAACAUUCAUAUAAUACCCAUAUAGAUAUUCAUCCAUGAUAUGCAACAUACAAAAUAAACAUAAUACACAACUCUAUUUUCAAGUUUCAAUGCAAAGCAGCUAAGAGUUUGCAUGAUAAAGGUAUAGAUCAAAAGAAAGGCGAUGCAGGAGUGACUCUAAAGAUAAGCUCUUAAUGUCAUUUGAGAAGUUUAACAUUUAAUAUAAAAAUAGUGUUUAUAAUUAUCAUAGGAUCCAAUGCAGUCCUAACAUGGAAUCAUGUACAACAGACCACAUUAACAUAGCAAAUACUCAAACAAUUUGUAUAAGAAAAAUAUUUGGAAUCCAAAAUGCAUACACAAUCCAAUACAUUAGAGACCUUAUAUUAGCCAUCUCGUGUCAAUGCUUGGUAGUGAAUUGUAGAGACUUUGUUUUAAAUCCAUCAUGUGAGCGCCAAUGAAACUCUACUCAAGCCAAUCUUAUCCGUCCAUAUUCAUAUCAAAAGAGAGGGAGAGAAAUACACAAGAAUGUGAGAGAUGGAGUUAAAAAUGAAUGAGAGACUAUUUAGUUAAUAAAAUAAAAUCUUAGUUAAUGGUUAAAUAUAAAUAAUGGAUCAAUUAAUAAAUAAUAAAAAAAAUUAAGAGCUCUAAAAUAAUUCACCCAAGAUUUUUUUUAGCAUAUUAUCUUAAUAAGCAGUAAACGGAGUAUAAAUUCAAUCGAGGAAGGUCCAAUUAAAACAACUUAACGCGAUAGUUAACUUUCACAUAAUUUGUCAAACUCUAAGUUAAUUAAAUUACUUCUAGAUUUAUACAUUUGAUUAAAAUUAUAUUUCAUUAUGUUGCCUUUUCUAUGCUAAAGUAAUAAAAAAAAAAGGAAAGGAAAAUAUAAAUUAUAUAUCUAAUAAGAGCAAAAUUCGUAGUAAAUGAUUCUUUUCACAGCAAUAAAUAAAAUAAAUUUAUGAAAUUCUAAGCAAUUAUUGCUUCAUCAUUUAAUUCCUAAAAACUCAUAACAAGCUACAUUCUAAUAAAAGAUAUUACUUAAAACAUCAGUAUUUAUUUCUCCCUCCCAUUUUACUUGUGGACUCAAACCAUAUAAAUAAAAAUUGAUAACCCAUACAGAAAACCUAGGAAACAGUAAAGCUUCUACAAAUAAAUUGAAAAGCUGUAUGAAAAAUCCAAGCACCAAAUAACAUCAACAAUGCUGAGCUGAGCUGCAAAGCCAAAAAAAUAGAAUCCAACAGGAUAGGGGUAAGGUGACACCUAAUUAUCAUUAUGAAAAUCGAUCACAAUGUAUUAUAAAAAUCAAAUACCCAAUUAACUUGGUGACUGAAAAUUCAAAUUUAAAUACGCAAAUGCAUUAUGAAAAUUAAAUACCUAAACUGAAAUACACAUUCAGUAAGGAUGAUUAUUGAGAGUUGAGAAAAAAAAAUUCUUUUGGGUUUCGUAGUUGUAGCUUAUGGGAAAGAGAACAAAAUGAAGAAACUUGAACUGUCGACUUACUUUUUAAUAGAGAUAAAUUCGAGUCUACCAUAACCAUAGGGCUUUUAAAAAUUUAUAAAAUUACAUAUAUAUCCCUAAAGUUUUUUAAAAUUGCUGGUGGCCCAAGUGUCCCUCAACCUACGCUGGCUCUUCUCUGGCUUUCUGCUAAUAAUAGCAAUUAACAAUCACGUCAGUGCAAAAUAAAUAUGAGGAUUACUAGCAAAAUCCUCCUUGGAUUUUUGUUGUCAAGGAGAAAAUGCGGAGACAGGGCCAAGUCACGUGCCAUACGCCACUGCACGUGACUUGGAAGACCUAGUCAAAUGACAAAGCAACCCAAUUGGAGGGAAAAUAAUCUAGCCGUCCAUUUUACAUCGCACGAUCAUCAUUAAAUUGCAUAAACAAAUAUUAAAAACGUAACAAAUAAAAUUAAAAAAAAAAAUCAAAUAUAGGGUGGAGAGAAAGAAGGAAGGAAAGUGCUGAGAGGUUUGGCGAAGAUGACAGAGAAAGCGCCGAUUUUUGGAUUUGUUAGCAAUCGAACUUGAAAUCGAAAACACACCCAGAAAACUAAGCCCAUUCAUCUUUCACCCCCUGAUUUUCUCGUGAAUAACAUCCUUUUCUCUGUAACCAAAUGAAGUAUACAAAGUCUUCUGUAAGUUUUUGCUGCUGCUGACGGUGCAACUGUGUAAUGUACUAAAUCUCCUCCUCUCUCUUUCUUGCAUUUAUGGUUUUUUUUGGUUGUUGAGAAGCUGUAAUGAGAAUUAUGAUUGAAGAUUUCUAAAUUUUAUAUUUCUUCUUUUCUUAUUUUCUCAGCAACCAAACUGUUGUUUGUGUUGUGUCGGUCAUUUAUUUUCUGUGUCUUAAAAUGCAGGCUGGUUGAAGAGAAACUUUUUGUAGAUUCCAUUGCAUUGACCCCAGAUCUUCAGGUGAACACCGAUUUUCUAACAUCAUUACUCUAAUAAUCAAAGUUUCCUCUAUUUUCUGUGCUUUUCCUAGAAAACAUCUAGAUGGCUCAUCCCCUUUUGUUUCUUACACUUCCCUUUCCACUUAGUUCCCAUUGAUUUGCUAACAAUAGAAACUCCUAGUUUUUAUAUAACGUAUUGUUUGCAGCAAAAAUUAGUCUAGAACUUUACUUCUUUUUUACUUGCCAAGGGAAAAAUCCAAGUUUCUUGAACUUCUUCAUUUUCUUUUUUGUUGUGUGGAAGUAACACGCCUUUAUCACUGGCGAAUUUUCCUGUCUUUUUCUAUGAUUUAUGAAUAAUUUCUCGCACUUUCUCCCAAAUUUUGUUGCACAGAGAGAGAGAGAGAGAGA
This 2924-nucleotide unclassified non-coding RNA is filed under the name Hevea brasiliensis (rubber tree). The record is from RNAcentral. Lineage: Eukaryota; Viridiplantae; Streptophyta; Magnoliopsida; Malpighiales; Euphorbiaceae.